Vicia villosa (hairy vetch) is the source of this 663-nucleotide long non-coding RNA. RefSeq lists it as uncharacterized. The record is from RefSeq and is a predicted model, not a curated record. The transcript is spliced from 2 exons. Lineage: Eukaryota; Viridiplantae; Streptophyta; Magnoliopsida; Fabales; Fabaceae.
GUUAAUUAAAUUAUUGAAGGAUUUAAAUAUUUGAUUUAGUCGAAAUUGGAUUGUCGGUGUUAUUUAAGGGCGUAUUUGGAAUUAUAUAAAUCGAAGUCGGAUAGUCAGAAAAUAAUAUUAAGAAUAAUAUUAUUUAUAAGUCGGAAUUAUUAUAUUGAAGGAAUUAUUAUUAUAAGUGAUAUAAUUGAUUAUUUGAGUUAUAUCUCUUAUUGGGCCUAAAUUGAUUUUGGAGGAUAUUAAAUAAAGAGAGGAUUUAAACACUAAGCCCAAUUGAUUUUAUAUUAGGGUUUUAGAGAUUUUGGAAAGGGGGAGUUGUCAUAAUGAAGAAACAAGAAUAGAGGAGAAAGAGGCAAGACUAUGGAGAAGAAGAAGAAGCUUGAAGAUUUUCAUCCAUGGUGCCAAAUUGAAGAUGCAAAUAGAGACCCAUUGAGUUGCUUCCAUUGAUAAGGUAUUCAAGUAUGAAGAUUUAGUUGUCGUUACUCGAAUCGGUUGUCGCUCUGAUACGUAGCACUCUGGGGGGAACGAUUUAUGUCAUUUAUGAUGUUGUUGUUUAAUUGUGUUAUCUUGGUUGAACAAAAUGAUAAGUUAACUGAGGAUAUUUUAUUGAAUACAUUCUUAAGCGAUUCCGCUGUGUUUUAAUAAAAUAAGUUAUUCUGUUUCAAA